UCAUCAUGCCCUUGACCUGGGCUACACACGUGCUACAAUGGCUGGUACAACGAGUCGCAAGCCGGUGACGGCAAGCUAAUCUCUUAAAGCCAGUCUCAGUUCGGAUUGUAGGCUGCAACUCGCCUACAUGAAGUCGGAAUCGCUAGUAAUCGCGGAUCAGCACGCCGCGGUGAAUACGUUCCCGGGCCUUGUACACACCGCCCGUCACACCACGAGAGUUUGUAACACCCGAAGUCGGUGAGGUAACCGUAAGGAGCCAGCCGCCUAAGGUGGGAUAGAUGAUUGGGGUGAAGUCGUAACAAGGUAGCCGUAUCGGAA
Molecule: ribosomal RNA, 318 nt
Filed under: uncultured bacterium
Lineage: Bacteria
Description: bacterial SSU rRNA
Rfam family: Bacterial small subunit ribosomal RNA
Source: RNAcentral